This 72-nucleotide transfer RNA is filed under the name Sus scrofa (pig). It matches the Rfam family "tRNA". From Rfam's summary of the family: Transfer RNA (tRNA) molecules are approximately 80 nucleotides in length. Their secondary structure includes four short double-helical elements and three loops (D, anti-codon, and T loops). Lineage: Eukaryota; Metazoa; Chordata; Mammalia; Artiodactyla; Suidae. The record is from Rfam by way of RNAcentral.
UCCCUGGUGGUCUAGUGGUCAGGACUUAGCACUUUGACUGCUUUGGCCUGAGUUUAGUCCCCAGUCUAGGUA